RNAcentral lists this ribosomal RNA (304 nucleotides) under uncultured bacterium. RNAcentral describes it as "partial 16S ribosomal RNA". It matches the Rfam family "Bacterial small subunit ribosomal RNA", at positions 506 to 807 of the family's 1533-position model. The record is from RNAcentral.
CAGCAGCAGCCGCGGGAAAACGUAGGGUGCAAGCGUUAAUCGGAAUUACUGGGCGUAAAGCGUGCGCAGGCGGUUAUAUAAGACAGAUGUGAAAUCCCCGGGCUCAACCUGGGAACUGCAUUUGUGACUGUAUAGCUAGAGUACGGCAGAGGGGGAUGGAAUUCCGCGUGUAGCAGUGAUAUGCGUAGAUAUGCGGAGGAACACCGAUGGCGAAGGCAAUCCCCUGGGCCUGUACUGACGCUCAUGCACGAAAGCGUGGGGAGCAAACAGGAUUAGAUACCCCAGUAGUCCCUGUCUCUUAUAC